ACAGUAGCAUGAAUCAGAGAGGGUCUGGUGCAGCCACUGCUGUGAAUGUAAGCCUAUGUAAUGUUCUGAAGACUCUUCCUUAUAACAGCUUCAGCAGAGAUGAGCCUUUUGUUUGGUUGGUAGACUUAAAUUCUCCAAAGAGCCAAAACCAAGGAUUAUAUCUACUGACCUCAAAUUCAGACUACAAAUUGUGGAAAGGCAAUGCAGAAUGCUUCGCUAUUCAAUCUUCAGGCCUGGGAAACAUUGCAGAUUGUCCAUGUUCUAGGAAGUUGCCAUGUCAUGUUGGGACCCAUCUGUCCCCAUCCGACCCCCAUCCCACUCCAUCCCAUCCCACCUCUUCUUUACCAGGGAUGGUGCUGGAGGAAGAAAGCUGAGUCAGGAUGACACAGAGAAGCUGAAGAAACUCUUUUUAGAUGAGUCUAAUUCACCAAACUGGCACAAAAAUAGAGAUCAGAGAGGCUUCCCAUAACCAAAAUAAUUGUUCUAAAUAUUAUAAAUCGACAUGUUACUUUGUCAUUUAUUGAGCACUUAUGGGGUUCUUACAAAGUGCCAGCACUGUCCUAAACUGCUUAGAGGUAGGCGCUCAUCCCACUCAACUUGCCCAGUGUCAGCCAUCUAACAUGUUGUUGAGCUGGGACAUAAACACAUAAACACAGGCUCCUGAUUACAGAGCCUAUGGCCCUAACCAGUGCACACUCCCACCUCUAAUGACCAAAUGC
Molecule: long non-coding RNA, 719 nt
Organism: Phyllostomus discolor (pale spear-nosed bat)
Lineage: Eukaryota; Metazoa; Chordata; Mammalia; Chiroptera; Phyllostomidae
Exons: 3
Source: RefSeq, a predicted model, not a curated record